GAGUUACCAAUAGUUGAGUUGGUGAUCGCUGUGCUGUUAACAUUAGCCGUAAUCUUGGGCAGAACUGGACUCGUCCAGGCCAAAGCAGUACCUGCAGCAACCGCACCCAAGCAAACUAUAUUGACGGGUUUUUGAAGUCUUCACCACACCAUCCUGCAGGGGAUCAUAGAGCAUUGGAUUGUGAGAGUUUGGAUCGCCAUCCUCCUGACUAACAGUCUGUAAUGAAAAUAGAUUGGAUUAAUGUUUAUUAAACAUAAAUUCUAGGUAUUGGUGAAGGGGAAUUUCCUGGAUUACUUUCAAAAUGAUUACAAUUGCCUCUGUCUUUGCACUUUUUGUUACAAUAAUUACGUAUGUUGCCACAACUAUUUGGACAGCAUUAAAAACAAUUUACACCUGUAUAAAAGUAGCCCGAACCUUAAAAAAAAUUCCAACACUUGGCGAUGUCAGCUAACAAUUUCAAGAAACAUCCAGGCAAAAAAUAAGCAAUGCCAAAGAAACUUCAAAGCAAAAAAUUAACGAAGCUAAAAAUCUUCUUAAGAGAAAGUAACAAAACGAAAGAAAUAAAAAUAAAUUAAAUUUAAAGCUUUAAUAAGUGAUAUAGACCUCUAAGUACACUUUUGACGUUAAUAAAUUUAAGGAACUUUGUUAUAA
Drosophila kikkawai is the source of this 651-nucleotide long non-coding RNA. RefSeq lists it as uncharacterized. NCBI's taxonomy places the organism in Eukaryota, Metazoa, Arthropoda, Insecta, Diptera, Drosophilidae. The record is from RefSeq and is a predicted model, not a curated record.